Molecule: ribosomal RNA, 468 nt
Filed under: uncultured bacterium
Lineage: Bacteria
Description: partial 16S ribosomal RNA
Rfam family: Bacterial small subunit ribosomal RNA
Source: RNAcentral
GACGAACGCUGGCGGCGUGCUUAACACAUGCAAGUCGAACGGAAAGGCCCUGCUUUUGUGGGGUGCUCGAGUGGCGAACGGGUGAGUAACACGUGAGUAACCUGCCCUUGACUUUGGGAUAACUUCAGGAAACUGGGGCUAAUACCGGAUAGGAGCUCCUGCUGCAUGGUGGGGGUUGGAAAGUUUCGGCGGUUGGGGAUGGACUCGCGGCUUAUCAGCUUGUUGGUGGGGUAGUGGCUUACCAAGGCUUUGACGGGUAGCCGGCCUGGGAGGGUGACCGGCCACAAGGGGACUGAGGUAGGCCCCAGACUCCUACGGGAGGCAGCAGUGGGGAACAUUGCACAAUGGGCGGAAGCCUGAGGCAGCAACGCCGCGUGCGUGAUGACGGCCUUCGGGUGGUAAACCGCUUUCGCCUGUGACGAAGCGUGAGUGACGGUAAUGGGUAAAGAAGCACCGGCUAACUACGUG